GCCAGGACAUAACAGGUAAUCAAUAAGCAUCUGUGGGGCCGGGCGUAGUCCUAUUAUUUUUUUCCAUUUUAUAGAAAAGACAAUUAAGGCGCAGAGAGUUAAGUAACCAGCUCAAGGUCACACAGCAAGUAAUGGCAAAUUAAAAAAUCCAGGCAACCUGACAGCCCAGCCCAAACUCUUUAUCACUACUCUAUUAUGCCUUAUAAUACAGAUAAUUUGCAUAAUCACAAAUGAGUCAUCAAAUGAUUUUUCCAAAACAAUGGAGCAAUCUUUCCUCAAAGGUCCUAUCUACCUCCACCUUUAGAGCGGAGAAAAAAUAGUGGCAAUUCCUCAGUAUCAC
Molecule: long non-coding RNA, 340 nt
Filed under: Homo sapiens (human)
Lineage: Eukaryota; Metazoa; Chordata; Mammalia; Primates; Hominidae
Description: HSALNT0180350
Source: RNAcentral